RNAcentral lists this unclassified non-coding RNA (1769 nucleotides) under uncultured fungus. RNAcentral's name for it is "sequence contains 18S rRNA gene, ITS1, 5.8S rRNA gene, ITS2, 28S rRNA gene". The stretch from base 652 to 1769 matches the Rfam family "Eukaryotic large subunit ribosomal RNA", at positions 1 to 961 of the family's 3401-position model. The record is from RNAcentral. Lineage: Eukaryota; Fungi.
GAAGGAUCAUUAACACAAAGUCCAUUUGAAUGAAUAUGAAUUUGGAAGGAAGGAAACUUUCAUUCAAUUCAAUUCAUUUCAAACCAAUAGCGAAUAGUUAAAGUUAUCAAUUAAAGUUUUUAUAUCAAACUUUUAAAGUUGAUUAACUAGAGAUUCACGUUCAAUGGAUGAUAAGAUUCGUCUUAUUAAUUCAUUCGACUGAUAUUGUUGAAAAACAAAAUAAAUAUAACCAAGACAACUUGUAACAGUGGAUACCUUGGUUCCCAGGUCGAUGAAGAGCGCAGCGAACUGCGAUAAGUCAUGUGAAUUGCAGAAUUCCGUGAAUCAUCGAACUCUUGAACGCAAAUUGCAUUUAGGUGUUGAGCCUAAAUGUGCCUGCUCGAGUGUCGGCAAUAAAUACUCAAUAAGAAGUGAUUCUAAUUGAUAUUGAGAGUUUAUUAUUAGUAAUAAUCUCUUUAAAUGAAUGGAAAUUGGAUUCAAAAGUUGUUGAAAUAACAAAUCUUUGAUGAAUUCAAUAACAAGUGAAUUAAAUGACUCAGGUCGUCUUUUUCCUUGUUAUUCAUCAAUAAUAUGUUUUUUUAUAUAACGAAUUCAAUCAAAUUCCUUGUCUACCGAUAUUAUUCAAUAUUAAAGACACUUUACUCAAUUUCUCGACCUCGAAUUAGGCAAGAUCACCCGGUGGACUUAAGCAUAUUAUUAACCGGAGGAAAAGAAACUAACAAGGAUGCCCUCAGUAACGGCGAGUGAAGCGGGCAAAGCUCAAAUUUAAAAUCUGGACUUCUGCGGGAGUUCCGAAUUGUAGUUUUUGGGAUCGUUAGUCACGGGGUUGUCAAUCUGGGAGUAAGUUCUUUGGAACAAGGCAUCAUAGAGGGUGAGAAUCCCGUAUAUGACCUGAUUGAUGAUUCAAUACGUGUCUAGCUUUUCACGAGUCGGGUUGUUUGGGAUUGCAGCCCUAAAUAGGUGGUAGAUCUCAUCUAAAGCUAAAUAUUCCUGGGAGACCGAUAGCGAAGAAGUAGUGUGAACGAAAGGUGAAAAGAACUUUGAAAAGAAGGUGAAAAGUACUUGAAGCUGUUCCAAGGGAACCGCAAGGAACCAGUGAUUACUUGUGGAUUAUUCAGGAGUAGAUUCAAAGAUUGUGCCGGAUAAAGGGUGCUGUAUGGUCCCGAUUACUGGGCAAUUGAGAAUUUGCUUCUUAUUUAAUUUAUGAGUGUGUCAACAUCAUUUUGUUGUAAUGGAGAAAGGUAGAGGUAAGGUAGGUUAGGCUUUCGGGUUUAACUGUUAUAGACCUUUAUUGCAUACAUUAUAAUGGAAUGAGGAAACAAAACGCAUGCCUCGGCGAGGUAAUUCUUGGACCCAAGGUGAUGAAUUUUGUACGUCUGCUUGCAGGGUGCAAUUUCGAUUGUUUUGGCAAAAGAGGAGCCCAUCGGUGCGUUCGGGAUGUUGACGAAAUGGUUUCUUACGACCCGUCUUGAAACACGGACCAAGGAGUCUAACAUGUAUGCGAGUAUUUGGGUGGAAAACCGCGUGCGAAAUGAAAGUGAGCGAUGUGAAGACCGCAAGGUCCGCAACAUUGACCGACUAUUCUUAGGAAUGGUUUGCGUUAGAGCACACAUGAUGGGACCCGAAAGAUGGUGAACUUUGCGUGCGCAGGGUGAAGCCAGAGGAAACUCUGGUGGAGGCUCGUAGAGAUACUGACGUGCAAAUCGUUCUUCUGACGUGCGUAAAGGGGCGAAAGACUAAUCGAAGACCAUCUAGUAGCUGGUUUACAC